This 465-nucleotide ribosomal RNA is filed under the name uncultured bacterium. RNAcentral describes it as "partial 16S ribosomal RNA". It matches the Rfam family "Bacterial small subunit ribosomal RNA", at positions 338 to 795 of the family's 1533-position model. The record is from RNAcentral.
CCUACGGGGGGCAGCAGUGGGGAAUAUUGCGCAAUGGGCGAAAGCCUGACGCAGCGACGCCGCGUGAGGGAUGAAGGUCUUCGGAACGUAAACCUCUGUCAGCAGGGAAGAACGGUCACUGUGCUAAUCAGCAGUGAAUUGACGGUAUCUGCAAAGGAAGCACCGGCUAACUCCGUGCCAGCAGCCGCGGUAAUACGGAGGGUGCGCACGUUAAUCGGAAUUACUGGGCGUAAAGCGCUCGUAGGCGGUAUGUCAAGUCAAGGGUGAAAUCCCCGCGCUCAACGUGGGAACUGCCUUUGAAACUGGCAAACUGGAGUGUGUGAGAGGAUAGUGGAAGUCCAGGUGUAGGAGUGAAAGCCGUAGAUAUCUGGAGGAACAUCAGUGGCGAAGGCGACUAUCUGGCACAUAACUGACGCUGAGGAGCGAAAGCGUGGGUAGCAAACAGGAUUAGAUACCCCGGUAGUC